Molecule: ribosomal RNA, 492 nt
Filed under: uncultured bacterium
Lineage: Bacteria
Description: partial 16S ribosomal RNA
Rfam family: Bacterial small subunit ribosomal RNA
Source: RNAcentral
AGUGAACGCUGGCGGUAGGCCUAACACAUGCAAGUCGAACGGCAGCACAGUAAGAGCUUGCUCUUACGGGUGGCGAGUGGCGGAUGGGUGAGGAAUACAUCGGAAUCUACUUUUUCGUGGGGGAUAACGUAGGGAAACUUACGCUAAUACCGCAUACGACCUACGGGUGAAAGCAGGGGAGCUUCGGACCUUGCGCGUUUGAAUGAGCCGAUGUCGGAUUAGCUAGUUGGCGGGGUAAAGGCCCACCACGGCGACGAUCCGUAGCUGGUCUGAGAGGAUGAUAGGCCACACUAGAACUGAGACACGCUCCAUACUACUGCGGGAGGCAGCAGUCGGGAAUAUUGGACAGUAGGCGCAAGCCUGAUCCAGUCAUCCCGCGUGGGUGAAGAAGGCCUUCGGGUUGUGAAGCCCGUUUGUUGGGAGUGAACAGCAGCAGGUUGAUACCCAGCUGUUGUGACGGUACCCAAAGAAUAAGCACCGGCUAACUUCGUG